Molecule: long non-coding RNA, 330 nt
Organism: Dicentrarchus labrax (European seabass)
Lineage: Eukaryota; Metazoa; Chordata; Actinopteri; Moronidae
Exons: 3
Source: RefSeq, a predicted model, not a curated record
CUCAGACUCCUGUAACCUCACUGUGACCUGCAGUACACAGGACUCUCACAUCAGCAGCACUUUUAGAUGUGACACCAAAACCUGCAGUCAGGAGGGAGGAGAGCAAUCAGAGGUCACAACAUCUGGUGCUUCUCUCCAUGUCUACCUGGUGGAUGGCUCAAUCAUCUGUAACCACAGCAACCAGGUCAACUGGACCAAAGACACUGAAAUGGCUGAACAUCUUUGCAUCCAACAUGACAAAAAAGAGAACACCGAAAAUACCAUAUAUGCAGUUACUAAGGUAAGUGUCAAGUUUUUUUUUAACAUCACAUAACUUGCCAGACAAACCAG